GACGAACGCUGGCGGCGUGCUUAACACAUGCAAGUCGAACGGAAAGGCCCUGCUUUUGUGGGGUUCUCGAGUGGCGAACGGGUGAGUAACACGUGAGUAACCUGCCCUUGACUUUGGGAUAACUUCAGGAAACUGGGGCUAAUACCGGAUAGGAGCUCCUGCUGCAUGGUGGGGGUUGGAAAGUUUCGGCGGUUGGGGAUGGAUUCGCGGCUUAUCAGCUUGUUGGUGGGGUAGUGGCUUACCAAGGCUUUGACGGGUAGCCGGCCUGAGAGGGUGACCGGCCACAUUGGGACUGAGAUACGGCCCAGACUCCUACGGGAGGCAGCAGUGGGGAAUAUUGCACAAUGGGCGGAAGCCUGAUGCAGCAACGCCGCGUGCGGGAUGACGGCCUUCGGGUUGUAAACCGCUUUCGCCUGUGACGAAGCGUGAGUGACGGUAAUGGGUAAAGAAGCACCGGCUAACUACGUG
RNAcentral lists this ribosomal RNA (468 nucleotides) under uncultured bacterium. RNAcentral's name for it is "partial 16S ribosomal RNA". It matches the Rfam family "Bacterial small subunit ribosomal RNA", at positions 28 to 507 of the family's 1533-position model. The record is from RNAcentral.